UGGGGAAUCUUCCGCAAUGGACGAAAGUCUGACGGAGCAACGCCGCGUGAGUGAAGAAGGUUUUCGGAUCGUAAAACUCUGUCUUUUGGGGCGAACGUGAGUAUGGUGAACAAUCAUAGUCAGUGACGGUACCAAAGGAGGAAGCCACGGCUAACUACGUGCCAGCAGCCGCGGUAAUACGUAGGUGGCAAGCGUUGUCCGGAAUUAUUGGGCGUAAAGAGCGCGUAGGCGGGAUAGUCAGUCUGUUGUAAAGUGCGGGCUCAACCCCGUGAUGGCAAUGGAAACAGCUAUUCUUGAGUGCAGGAGAGGAAAGUGGAAUUCCCAGUGUAGCGGUGAAAUGCGUAGAUAUUGGGAGGAACACCAGUGGCGAAGGCGACUUUCUGGACUGUGUCUGACGCUGAGGCGCGAAAGCCAGGGGAGCGAACGGGAUUAGAUACCCCCGGUAGUCCUGGCCGUAAACGAUGGGUACUAGGUGUGGGAGGUAUCAACCCCCUUCCGUGCCGGAGUUAACGCAAUAAGUACCCCGCCUGGGGAGUACGGUCGCAAGACUGAAACUCAAAUGAAUUGACGGGGUCAUAGCUGUUUCCUG
RNAcentral lists this ribosomal RNA (589 nucleotides) under uncultured bacterium. RNAcentral describes it as "partial 16S ribosomal RNA". It matches the Rfam family "Bacterial small subunit ribosomal RNA", at positions 355 to 1376 of the family's 1533-position model. The record is from RNAcentral.